This 253-nucleotide ribosomal RNA is filed under the name uncultured bacterium. Its description in RNAcentral is "partial 16S ribosomal RNA". It matches the Rfam family "Bacterial small subunit ribosomal RNA", at positions 524 to 776 of the family's 1533-position model. The record is from RNAcentral.
UACGUAGGCAGCGAGCGUUGUUCGGAGUUACUGGGCGUAAAGAGUGCGUAGGCGGUUUUCUAAGUUUGGUGUGAAAUCUCCCGGCUUAACUGGGAGGGUGCGCCGAAGACUGGCAAGCUCGAGUGCAGGAGAGGAACGCGGAAUUCCAGGUGUAGCGGUGAAAUGCGUAGAUAUCUGGAGGAACACCGGUGGCGAAGGCGGCAUCCUGGACCAACACUGACGCUGAGGAGCGAAAGCCAGGGGAGCAAACGGG